ACAAAAAACGUGGAUCACUGUGGGUCCGGUUCCCCGGCCUAGAGCUGAGGUUCCGGUUUCUAA
Molecule: microRNA precursor, 63 nt
Organism: Ciona intestinalis (vase tunicate)
Lineage: Eukaryota; Metazoa; Chordata; Ascidiacea; Phlebobranchia; Cionidae
Source: Ensembl